Molecule: ribosomal RNA, 253 nt
Filed under: uncultured prokaryote
Description: partial 16S ribosomal RNA
Rfam family: Bacterial small subunit ribosomal RNA
Source: RNAcentral
ACGGGGGGUGCGAGCGUUGUCCGGAAUCACUGGGCGUAAAGGGCGCGUAGGUGGUUUGAUAAGGGUGUGGUGAAAGCCCGGGGCUCAACCCCGGGUCUGCCGUGCCGACUGUUAAACUCGAGGGCUGUAGAGGCAGACGGAAUUCCGGGUGUAGCGGUGGAAUGCGUAGAGAUCCGGAGGAACACCGACGGCGUAGGCAGCGCCCUGGACGACACCUGACGCUGAGGCACGAAAGCUGGGGGAGCGAACAGGA